GACGAACGCUGGCGGCGUGCUUAACACAUGCAAGUCGAACGGAAAGGCCCUGCUUUUGUGGGGUGCUCGAGUGGCGAACGGGUGAGUAACACGUGAGUAACCUGCCCUUGACUUUGGGAUAACUUCAGGAAACUGGGGCUAAUACCGGAUAGGAGCUCCUGCUGCAUGGUGGGGGUUGGAAAGUUUCGGCGGUUGGGGAUGGACUCGCGGCUUAUCAGCUUGUUGGUGGGGUAGUGGCUUACCAAGGCUUUGACGGGUAGCCGGCCUGAGAGGGUGACCGGCGAAGGUGGGACAGAGAUGAGGCGCAGAAGCCGACGGGAGGCAGAAGUGGGGAAGAGGGCACAAGGGGCGGAAGCCGGAGGCAGCAACGCCGCGUGAGGGAGGAAGGCCGGCGGGGGGGAGAAAGAGUGCGCAGGUGAAGAAGCGUGAGGGACGGGAAGGGGUAAAGAAGCACCGGCUAACUACGUG
This 468-nucleotide ribosomal RNA is filed under the name uncultured bacterium. RNAcentral describes it as "partial 16S ribosomal RNA". It matches the Rfam family "Bacterial small subunit ribosomal RNA", at positions 28 to 507 of the family's 1533-position model. The record is from RNAcentral.